Molecule: ribosomal RNA, 466 nt
Filed under: uncultured bacterium
Lineage: Bacteria
Description: partial 16S ribosomal RNA
Rfam family: Bacterial small subunit ribosomal RNA
Source: RNAcentral
GAUGAACGCUGGCGGCGUGCUUAACAUAUGCAAGUCGAACGAUGAAGCCCAGCUUGCUGGGUGGAUUAGUGGCGAACGGGUGAGUAACACGUGAGUAACCUGCCCUUGACUCUGGGAUAAGCCUGGAAAACUGGUUCUAAUACUGGAUAUGACUUCUCAUCGCAUGGUGUGGGGUGGAAAGAUUUAUUGUUCUUGGAUGGACUCGCGGCCUAUCAGCUUGUUGGUGUGGUAAUGGCUCACCAAGGCGACGACGGGUAGCCGACCUGAGAGGGUGACCGGCCACACUGGGACUGAGACACGGCACAGACUCCUACGGGAGGCAGCGGUGGGGAAUAUUGCACAAUGGGCGCAAGCCUGAUGCAGCGACGCAGCGUGAGGGAUGACGGCCAUCGGGUUGUAAACCUCUUUCAGUAGGGAAGAAGCGAGAGUGACGGUACCUGCAGAAGAAGCGCCGGCUAACUACGUG